Molecule: ribosomal RNA, 507 nt
Filed under: uncultured bacterium
Lineage: Bacteria
Description: partial 16S ribosomal RNA
Rfam family: Bacterial small subunit ribosomal RNA
Source: RNAcentral
GACGAACGCUGGCGGCGUGCUUAACACAUGCAAGUCGAACGGGCCUUGUCCCCUUUUUUUUGGGGGUGGGGUUAGUGGCGAACGGGUGAGUAACACGUGAGUAACCUGCCCCUCACUUCUGGAUAACCGCUUGAAAGGGUGGCUAAUACGGGGUGUUCUGGCCUGCUCGCAUGGGUGGGUUUGGAAAGAUUCGACCGGUUUUGGUUGUUUUGGUGGGGGAUGGGCUCGCGGCCUAUCAGCUUGUUGGUGGGGUGAUGGCCUGCCAAGGCUUUGACGGGUAGCCGGCCUGAGAGGGUGGGCGGUCACACUGGGACUGAGACACGGCCCAGACUCCUACGGGAGGCAGCAGUGGGGAAUAUUGCACAAUGGGCGCAAGCCUGAUGCAGCGACGCCGCGUGAGGGAUGGAGGCCUUCGGGUUGUGAACCUCUUUCGCCAGUGAAGAAGGUCCUGCUCUUUGUGGUGGGGAUGACGGUAGCUGGGUUAAUGAAGCGCCGGCUAACUACGUG